CGCUGGCGGCGUGCUUAACACAUGCAAGUCGAACGAGAAUCUGCGGAAAGAGGAUUCGUCCAAUUGAAGCAGAGGACAGUGGCGGACGGGUGAGUAACGCGUGAGGAACCUGCCUUUCAGAGGGGGACAACAGUUGGAAACGACUGCUAAUACCGCAUAACAUAUAGAUGUCGCAUGGCAUUUAUAUCAAAGAUUUAUCGCUGAAAGAUGGCCUCGCGUCUGAUUAGCUAGUUGGUGAGGUAACGGCCCACCAAGGCGACGAUCAGUAGCCGGACUGAGAGGUUGAACGGCCACAUUGGGACUGAGAUACGGCCCAGACUCCUACGGGAGGCAGCAGUGGGGAAUAUUGGGCAAUGGGCGCAAGCCUGACCCAGCAACGCCGCGUGAAGGAAGAAGGCUUUCGGGUUGUAAACUUCUUUUAAGAGGGAAGAGCAGAAGACGGUACCUCUAGAAUAAGCCACGGCUAACUACGUG
RNAcentral lists this ribosomal RNA (474 nucleotides) under uncultured bacterium. RNAcentral describes it as "bacterial SSU rRNA". It matches the Rfam family "Bacterial small subunit ribosomal RNA", at positions 34 to 507 of the family's 1533-position model. The record is from RNAcentral.